This is a long non-coding RNA of Mercurialis annua (annual mercury), 904 nucleotides long. RefSeq lists it as uncharacterized. The record is from RefSeq and is a predicted model, not a curated record. Lineage: Eukaryota; Viridiplantae; Streptophyta; Magnoliopsida; Malpighiales; Euphorbiaceae. The transcript has 8 exons.
UGUCAAAAGAACUUCCAAUCAUUUAGGCCUAUUUCAUUUUCAGUUUCAGAUGAAAUUCUCUCGCCGUUUAGGCCAAAUAGUUUAUGUUUUUCAAUUUCAUUUUCAGGUGAAAGUUUUUCUCGCCGUUUCUCUUCGCCAUAGUCAUUUCUUCGCCGUCUCUCUUCUCCAUUAAUCUCAGGGUUUACUGAUAAUUUGAAGAUCUCUUCAAUAUCUUCACAUGCUAAUUAGAGAUGCUUUCCGUGCAUUUGUUUCAGGAAACUUUACAGGAGAUGGACUCACAGAUUCUUUGCAAGGGUUGCCAAGCACUGAGGUCUAUCAGAUUUAAGGUAUUUAAUAAAUGAAACUGCGAUUGUCAGAAUUAUCAAGUAAGUUGCGGAGAGUAUUGCAGUAGCAUCACCCUUUGGACUUUUUCUCUAAUGUGAAAGACAAUCUUUUGUAAGUUGCCGGUGGAGAAGUUUCUCUACCAUUUUUGCAAGUAGACCACAAUGCCCUCUGGUUUUUUAUGUGGAAGGACAAUAUUGUCAUGUAGGAUUUUGAUGCAACCUGCAUCACUUGGCGACUAGGCGUGUUUAAUACAAAACACGGGUUUAGCUAUUUGUACUGUUGGAGUGGACAUAUCUCAGAGCUAAUGUGAUUUUUUUAUAAGUUCCCAUGUUAAGCAAGAUUGAGCUCCAAAACAGUGGAAGUGAUGCCUUUUCCACUGUUAUAGGUGAGAGGGUCCCGGUCGUGCACUUGUUUAUGGAAGAGGGGUUACGAGAAGCAAACAGAGAAGGAAGCAGUUCUUCAAUAAUUUUGAUGGAAUAUUUUCCGUUUUCUAAUUUUAGUGAAUAUUUUUUGUUUGUGAUGUAAUAAAUGAAAUAUUUUCGUGAUGUAAUAGAUGAAUGGAGUAUUUUCGUGAUGUAAU